UGGAUUUGCUAGAGUCUUCUUCAA
Molecule: non-coding RNA, 24 nt
Filed under: Arabidopsis thaliana (thale cress)
Lineage: Eukaryota; Viridiplantae; Streptophyta; Magnoliopsida; Brassicales; Brassicaceae
Source: RNAcentral